CAACCCUCAAGUCCCCUGUGGACUCGGUGUUGGGGACCGGCGAGACAGCCGCGGAUCUUCUUCCGCGGCGAGACAGCCGCGGAUCUUCUUCCGCGGCGAGUCGCCGCCCCCUAAAUGACUUGGCGGCCUCGUCGCGGCCCUCCUCUGCGUAGUAUAGCACACCUCGCAACAGGAGCCCGGCGAAUGGCCACUGCCGUAAAACCCCCCAACUUUUUCAG
Molecule: unclassified non-coding RNA, 218 nt
Filed under: uncultured Ascomycota
Lineage: Eukaryota; Fungi; Ascomycota
Description: sequence contains ITS2
Source: RNAcentral